This 710-nucleotide ribosomal RNA is filed under the name bacterium. RNAcentral describes it as "bacterial SSU rRNA". It matches the Rfam family "Bacterial small subunit ribosomal RNA", at positions 78 to 802 of the family's 1533-position model. The record is from RNAcentral.
GCUUGCUGGGUGGAUUAGUGGCGAACGGGUGAGUAACACGUGGGUGAUCUGCCCUGCACUUCGGGAUAAGCCUGGGAAACUGGGUCUAAUACCGGAUAGGACCUUCUGCCGCAUGGUGGGGGGUGGAAAGGUUUUCCGGUGCAGGAUGGGCCCGCGGCCUAUCAGCUUGUUGGUGGGGUAACGGCCCACCAAGGCGACGACGGGUAGCCGGCCUGAGAGGGCGACCGGCCACACUGGGACUGAGACACGGCCCAGACUCCUACGGGAGGCAGCAGUGGGGAAUAUUGCACAAUGGGCGCAAGCCUGAUGCAGCGACGCCGCGUGAGGGAUGACGGCCUUCGGGUUGUAAACCUCUUUCAGUACCGACGAAGCGCAAGUGACGGUAGGUACAGAAGAAGCACCGGCCAACUACGUGCCAGCAGCCGCGGUAAUACGUAGGGUGCGAGCGUUGUCCGGAAUUACUGGGCGUAAAGAGCUCGUAGGCGGUUUGUCGCGUCGUCUGUGAAAACCCGCAGCUCAACUGCGGGCUUGCAGGCGAUACGGGCAGACUUGAGUACUGCAGGGGAGACUGGAAUUCCUGGUGUAGCGGUGAAAUGCGCAGAUAUCAGGAGGAACACCGGUGGCGAAGGCGGGUCUCUGGGCAGUAACUGACGCUGAGGAGCGAAAGCGUGGGUAGCGAACAGGAUUAGAUACCCUGGUAGUCCACGCCG